CCUACGGGUGGCAGCAGUGGGGGAUAUUGCACAAUGGGGGAAACCCUGAUGCAGCGACGCCGCGUGAGUGAAGAAGUAUUUCGGUAUGUAAAGCUCUAUCAGCAGGGAAGAAAAUGACAGUACCUGACCAAGCAGCCCCGGCUAACUACGUGCCAGCAGCCGCGGUCAUACGUAGGGGGCAAGCGUUAUCCGGAUUUACUGGGUGUAAAGGGAGCGUAGACGGUUUUGUAAGUCUGGAGUGAAAGCCCGGGGCGCAACCCCGGGACUGCUUUGGAAACUGUGUAACUUGAGUACAGGAGGGGCAGGCGGAAUUCCUGGUGUAGCGGUGAAAUGCGUAGAUAUCAGGAGGAACACCGGCGGCGAAGGCGGCCUUCUGGACUGAAACUGACGUUGAGGUUCGAAAGCGUGGGGAGCAAACAGGAUUAGAUACCCUAGUAGUC
This 440-nucleotide ribosomal RNA is filed under the name uncultured bacterium. RNAcentral describes it as "partial 16S ribosomal RNA". It matches the Rfam family "Bacterial small subunit ribosomal RNA", at positions 338 to 795 of the family's 1533-position model. The record is from RNAcentral.